UUUCCUACGGGGCGCAGCAGUGAGGAAUAUUGGUCAAUGGGAGAGAUCCUGAACCAGCCAAGCCGCGUGAGGGAAGACGGCCCUAUGGGUUGUAAACCUCUUUUGUCGGAGAACAAAACCCGGGACGAGUCCCGGACUGCGUGUAUCCGAAGAAAAAGCAUCGGCUAACUCCGUGCCAGCAGCCGCGGUGAUACGGAGGAUGCGAGCGUUAUCCGGAUUUAUUGGGUUUAAAGGGUGCGCAGGCGGCACGGCAAGCCGGCGGUCAAAUCGCGGGGCUCAACCCCGCCCAGCCGUCGGAACUGCCG
This 305-nucleotide ribosomal RNA is filed under the name uncultured bacterium. RNAcentral's name for it is "bacterial SSU rRNA". It matches the Rfam family "Bacterial small subunit ribosomal RNA", at positions 335 to 638 of the family's 1533-position model. The record is from RNAcentral.